GGAACUGCAAGUUCCCACGUCCACCCCCGCCACACCCACAGCCUGCCCUGCAUACACCACUGCUGGAGAUGUAGCCAGGACAGCUCGCCCUGUCCCCUGACCCCACGGACCUUGUUAACACUGCUGCUCCCCUCGGUGAUAUUUACCUGUCCGUGGCUGUCCUGACCAAUACUCCCAAGGAGACAGCCCGCCAGUCGCACAGCAGCCUCUGCCAGUGCAUCACUGGGCCAACAGGGCAGAGCCCCAGGGGACCACUCCCUUUAUGACAUGGAUGGACACUUUAGGAGUGACAGUUACCCUCUCCUUGGAUGAGGAGGGGCUCCAAGGAUCGACAUGUCAGUCUCACCUGGAGGGAGAGGGGCAGUGGGUGGGGGCAACGCUCAGUGGCUGGUGGACAGGCAAGGAGUGAGUGAGCCCUGCCCAACUGACUCCAUUGGCGGCCACUGGCCUUGCCUGGCAUUCACGGAACAGGCGCUUCAUAAACGUGUUGCUUCAAUGUGAAAUCACCUCAAUUUUGUAAAUGCGUCUGUAGCAUCCACAGGACUCAUCAUCUAGAAUACAAACCCUUAA
This 570-nucleotide long non-coding RNA is filed under the name Pan troglodytes (chimpanzee). RNAcentral's name for it is "lincRNA". Lineage: Eukaryota; Metazoa; Chordata; Mammalia; Primates; Hominidae. The record is from RNAcentral.